Long non-coding RNA from Oncorhynchus mykiss (rainbow trout), 480 nucleotides. RefSeq lists it as uncharacterized. Lineage: Eukaryota; Metazoa; Chordata; Actinopteri; Salmoniformes; Salmonidae. The record is from RefSeq and is a predicted model, not a curated record.
CCAGAGGUCGCUGGAGGCUGUCAGGUGUGACCAGGGGAGAGGUGCAAGUCAAUUGGACAGAUCUGUCACUACCAAGGCCCUCGGGAUGCGGGUGACAUGACAUGAGAGUCUCCGUGAUCACUCUAGUAGAGCCUGACAACCGGUUCCAAGGAGACUGCAAGGUCUACAAAGGGGAUGUAGUGUUUCCCCAGAUCAAGUAUGAAGACAUUGCGCAUCUCUAGUCAAAACAGGCCUUGCAGAUUUUCUGGCUGGCGCCCGCAUGGUUGGUUUCCUUUCAAAUUGGACUUUGACAUUUGUACGUUCCUAUCAAAUGGCAGGGACUGGGAGACUAGUCAGGAUUGAAGCAAAGAUGAACGGAACAUAUUACAGAGAAAUCCUUAAUGAAACCUGCUCUAGAGCGCCCAGGACCUCAGACUGGGUUGAAGGUUCACCUUCCAUCAAGACAACAACCGUAAGCGCACAGCCAAGACAACGCAAGAC